This 858-nucleotide ribosomal RNA is filed under the name Triticum aestivum (bread wheat). Its description in RNAcentral is "partial small subunit ribosomal RNA". Lineage: Eukaryota; Viridiplantae; Streptophyta; Magnoliopsida; Poales; Poaceae. The record is from RNAcentral.
AUGGACGUGGAGUUGAGGAUAGAGCAGUGUGCCAAGUUGAGAAUAAAACCAUGUCAGCCUAGAGCUAUGUUUUUGGACAUAGUAGAUUGUGAUAAUGUGCUAUCAUCAUGGGGACAGAGCUUCUCACACAAGAGUGCUUCCUCCACUUCUCCAACAACUCAUCUGAGUGUUAGUUACAGCAAGGUACCCAUGCAUCAGUGGAGGUUGCUUCAACACCUCCCUGCCCUUCGUUGUUUAACCAUCGACAGUUGCUGUGAUUUGACCACCUCACCUGAGAAUGAGAUUAUCCAACACGUCCCCUCACUGAAAUCAUUGCACCUCCGAUCAUUGUCUCUCGACCAGGCAGAACUCCCAGUUUGGUUGGUUGCUCUGACAUCACUACAGGAACUAAGUCUAUCUGGGUGUGGAAGCUUGACAUCUCUACCGGAGUGGUUAGGAGAACUCACCUCUCUCGAGAAACUUGAAAUUUUACACAGUAUUGCUUUUAUUCUCUUCAUCCCAACAUCAGACGGCUCUUUAAUUUGGGUGAAACCAUCGGAUGACUCGGAGGAAGAAGACAGGGGAAUCCCGGAUCUGCACAGUGAUAUGAUGAAUGUUCCUGGUUUCUUCAUAGACUCAGAUGAAGGAGAGACAAUGAUUCCGGAUGUGCACAGUGCUAUGAUGAGCGUUCCUGGCUUCUUCACAGAAUCAGAUGAAGAAGACACAAAAAUGGUGGAUCUGCAGAGUGCUAUGAGAAGCGUUCCUGACUGCUUCACAGACGCAGAGGAAGAAGACACAGAAAUUCCGGAUCUGCACAGUGAUAUGAUGAGCGUUCCCGGCUUCUUCACAGAGGAGGCUCUGCAGUUAUCUAAUCCGUAG